RNAcentral lists this long non-coding RNA (909 nucleotides) under Homo sapiens (human). Its description in RNAcentral is "non-protein coding lnc-SPATA31A6-60:1". Lineage: Eukaryota; Metazoa; Chordata; Mammalia; Primates; Hominidae. The record is from RNAcentral.
CAGACUUUCUUGUUUGCCUCAUCCCUACCAGUGUCUUUCUCCCUACACCUAAGGUCAAUUACCAGCUGCCCUUUAUCGUUGAACUUGAUGCUUUCUUCUCAUAGUAGAAUUAAGAGGAAAGUAAAAUAUUUUUUGUACCUAUAUCUUUAUUAUAUUUAGACAAAUCACAGAGUGAGAGAGUAGGGGUUUCAAGAAAAAUAGGAGAGAGAUAAAGGAGAGAGAAAGAACUGCUUGUGGAAAUACAGAAUAUCCCACAUUUUCAAUGUGGAAAGUGUAUGAGGGUAUGAAAGAAAAUACUCAGUUUUUUUUGUCCUGUAAGAGGCAGCAUUGACAAAUGUGUACCAGAGUUUGGGUACAUUUGAGCCAGUUCUUCAGAAUCGUGGGGUGGGAAAUAGAACAAAAUUAUUUACACCUAAUUCUAGGCAGAUAAGUGUGCUUCAAGGAAAGGCAAGGGCCUGGCUAGAUUCUAGAUGUUUUUAAACUGGAGGCCAGAGACAGCUUUAGGGAGUCCAUAUACAGGCACAAAUUUAUUUCUUUUAUAGUCUUCUUGCUCUUUGAAAAUGGUCUUUAUGCAAAUACUCACUAUAUAACCAAAGUUUCUCUUUGUUCCAGGCAGCAGUAGGGCUGAUUGGAGCCAUUGUACGUGUCGGGAACAUAUCAGAACACCGAGAAUAGCGUCAUGUCAUAAGGACUCAGAGCAGGUGGACCCUGCUGUGAUGCACAAAGAGGACCACGCAAGAUAUGAUAAAGAUCUAUGUCACUGAAUUUUGGUUCAAUUUUUGUAUCUCAGCUUCCCGGAAAUAAAAAAGAAUUCUAACAUUCAUACUUUCAGUAUUUUAUGUGAGAGGUUUUGUUGUCAAAAUCAAGUCUGAGAGCAAUGUUUAUUGGGGUCUUUAAUUGGAGUCACCA